This 170-nucleotide ribosomal RNA is filed under the name Henricksonia mexicana. Its description in RNAcentral is "5.8S ribosomal RNA". It matches the Rfam family "5.8S ribosomal RNA". From Rfam's summary of the family: 5.8S ribosomal RNA (5.8S rRNA) is a component of the large subunit of the eukaryotic ribosome. It is transcribed by RNA polymerase I as part of the 45S precursor that also contains 18S and 28S rRNA. Functionally, it is thought that 5.8S rRNA may be involved in ribosome translocation. The record is from RNAcentral. Lineage: Eukaryota; Viridiplantae; Streptophyta; Magnoliopsida; Asterales; Asteraceae.
UAACUUAGAACGACUCUCGGCAACGGAUAUCUCGGCUCACGCAUCGAUGAAGAACGUAGCAAAAUGCGAUACUUGGUGUGAAUUGCAGAAUCCCGUGAACCAUCGAGUUUUUGAACGCAAGUUGCGCCCGAAGCCAUCCGGUUGAGGGCACGUCUGCCUGGGCGUCACGC